This is a small nuclear RNA of Rattus norvegicus (Norway rat), 93 nucleotides long. Ensembl annotates it as U2 spliceosomal RNA. Lineage: Eukaryota; Metazoa; Chordata; Mammalia; Rodentia; Muridae. The record is from Ensembl.
AUCGCUUCUCGGCCUUUUGGCUAAGAUCAAGUGUAAUAUAAGUAUUAUAUAUAAUUUAUAUAUAAUGUAUGCAUAUGUAUAGAUAAAACACUA